GUUCCAUCCCUGGCCCGCAGUCCGAACAAUCGAUUACAUCAUCGAUACACAAACAGCUGUGGAGAACGGAACUACACAACACUACAACAAAAGACGACGGAAAUCCACAACAUAAACAACAAAACCUGCAAUCAACAACAAAACGGUAAGAUCCCGGUUCCGGACCCAGGCGUACCCGCCCUGCCUGAGAUGACACCACUCCGUCAUCUCCCUCAUGUUGGCCACCGAAUGGACCUACUUCAUCCUGCGUUGGCCAUCGUGUUUCUCCCUCCCCCUACAGCAAUAAUUAUACGGACAUUUUCAUGUUCAGAUAUACGAGGAACGAAAACAUGGCCAUCAACAUAAAUAAUGGCAUAUACAAAUUUGCACCGUAAAUGUGCGACACAAGGCUGUGGCGGAGACGCCGCGGGACAAAUAUAUAUAUAUAUGUUUAUACGUAUGUAUGUUAUGGAAUAGUAUGUUAAGGUUAAAUGUGAAUCGCUUAAUAUUACCUUAGCCUGCCUAAAGAGCUCUCUGGGUGGUUUAAGGGGCGAUGUAAGGGUAGAGUAUAUGUAUAUAUUGAUAAAUGUUUAUAUAUAUAUAUGUGUUUAUCUGUCAAUCUAUGUGUGCUUGUGAUUGUAAUUAAAUAUCGUUAUAUACUUAAAUGUAUAUAAAUAUCUGUUAAAUAUUAA
Long non-coding RNA from Drosophila innubila, 671 nucleotides. RefSeq lists it as uncharacterized. Lineage: Eukaryota; Metazoa; Arthropoda; Insecta; Diptera; Drosophilidae. The transcript has 3 exons. The record is from RefSeq and is a predicted model, not a curated record.